GACGAACGCUGGCGGCGUGCUUAACACAUGCAAGUCGAACGCAUUGGCGCACGGGUGAGUAACGCGUAAUCCACCUGCCCUUCAGAGGGGGACCACAGUUGGAAACGACUGCUAAUACCGCAUACUGAAGGAGUGUAUUGCGUCUGAUUAGCUAGUUGGAGGGGUAACGGCCCACCAAGGCGAUGAUCAGUAGCCGGUCUGAGAGGAUGAAACGCCACAUGGGGACUGAGACACGGCCCAGACUCCUACGGGAGGCAGCAGUGGGGAAUCUUCGGCAAUGGACGAAAGUCUGACGGAGCAACGCCGCGUGAGGGAUGACGGCCUUCGGGUUGUAAAGCUCUGUUAAUCGGGACGCGGUACCGGAAUAGAAAGCCACGGCUAACUACGUGCCAGCCGCCGCGGUAAUAC
Molecule: ribosomal RNA, 408 nt
Filed under: uncultured bacterium
Lineage: Bacteria
Description: partial 16S ribosomal RNA
Rfam family: Bacterial small subunit ribosomal RNA
Source: RNAcentral